GGCGACAUCGCCAAGUGGUAAGGCAAUGGUCUGCAAAAUCAUUAUCCCCGGUUCGAAUCCGGGUGUCGCCUCCA
Molecule: transfer RNA, 74 nt
Filed under: Candidatus Cloacimonadota bacterium
Lineage: Bacteria; Pseudomonadati; Candidatus Cloacimonadota
Also listed under: 1 other name
Description: Candidatus Cloacimonetes bacterium tRNA-Cys
Rfam family: tRNA
About the family: Transfer RNA (tRNA) molecules are approximately 80 nucleotides in length. Their secondary structure includes four short double-helical elements and three loops (D, anti-codon, and T loops).
Source: RNAcentral